This is a long non-coding RNA of Cucumis melo (muskmelon), 819 nucleotides long. RefSeq lists it as uncharacterized. The transcript is spliced from 3 exons. NCBI's taxonomy places the organism in Eukaryota, Viridiplantae, Streptophyta, Magnoliopsida, Cucurbitales, Cucurbitaceae. The record is from RefSeq and is a predicted model, not a curated record.
UUCUUUUCGUUUCUUUUCUUGUGGCACCAUCAAAAUUUUGUUUGGAUUGAAGAAAUUUUGACAGCCAUGGCAGUGUCAAAAUCUAUCAAAAUUUCUUCCAUGCAAACAAAAAUUUUAUCUUCCUUUCGCCAUGGAUUUCCAUACCCUGUCAAGGAGAGAGCUCCAAGCCCUAAGAGAAAUAAGAUUCCGGCCAAUAUCACCAAUGUCGCCAUGCCGACGCUCUUGCUGCUUGAUCUUCAAUCUGCUGAAGGAAUCGAGGAUGUUUUUUAUACGGUGAUAGAUCUGGAGUACCUGAAUCGUUUAUUGAUUCUGUAGUUUAAUCUUGUGAUUUUGAAGCGUCUUAGUUAGGCUUAAGAGUAAGGAGAUAAUUCAUUUUUCUUGUUUCAGCUAGAAAUUACCUUGAUGCCUUAAUUGUUAUGUUUUUUAGGGGUGUUUGGUUAUUUAGGCUUGAGUAAAAACUAGUAAAAGGGAAAUAUUUGAUUGUCCAACAAGUAAUAAGCUUCUGCUCAAUCAUUCAACCAUCUUUGUUGUAAAGGAAGAAGCUUCUCUCCUCUGGCAAUCAAAGUCGUCCCUUGUUAACAGCACCAUAUGCUAAUUUGAAUAUGAAAUGCUUCUCUGAAUAUGAAAAGUGAAUGAAGCUUCCAAAGAUGAUGAUUCUGUUGAGAUUCUGCUUAGGAAAUCAAAAAUUGUUGCCGUAAAAAACCUCGCCAGCUCCUCCCCUCUCAGGUUUUUCUGUUCUUUUUCUUUAAUAUUUUGGAAUUUUGCCUUUGUGAUUUUUCUAUAUACUAUUGCUUUUUUGCUUUAUCAUUUAUUUUGAUU